This 500-nucleotide ribosomal RNA is filed under the name uncultured bacterium. RNAcentral's name for it is "partial 16S ribosomal RNA". It matches the Rfam family "Bacterial small subunit ribosomal RNA", at positions 30 to 523 of the family's 1533-position model. The record is from RNAcentral.
AUUGAACGCUGGCGGAAUGCUUUACACAUGCAAGUCGAACGGCAGCACGGACUUCGGUCUGGUGGCGAGUGGCGAACGGGUGAGUAACAUAUCGGAACGUAUCCAAUAAUGGGGGAUAACGAGUCGAAAGAUUCGCUAAUACCGCAUACGCCCUACGGGGGAAAGCUGGGGACCUUCGGGCCUGGCGUUAAUGGAGCGGCCGAUAACUGAUUAGCUAGUUGGUGAGGUAAAGGCUCACCAAGGCGACGAUCAGUAGCGGGUCUGAGAGGACGACCAGCCACACUGGAACUGAGACACGGUCCAGACUCCUACGGGAGGCAGCAGUGGGGAAUUUUGGACAAUGGGCGCAAGCCUGAUCCAGCCAUUCCGCGUGAGUGAAGAAGGCCUUCGGGUUGUAAAGCUCUUUCGCAAGGGAAGAAAACUUAGCCACUAACAUUGGUUGAGGUUGACGGUACCUUGAUAAGAAGCACCGGCUAACUACGUGCCAGCAGCCGCAGUAA